GACGAACGCUGGCGGCGUGCUUAACACAUGCAAGUCGAACGGUGAACCUGCUUCGGUGGGGGAUCAGUGGCGAACGGGUGAGUAACACGUGGGCAACCUGCCCUCAGCUCUGGGAUAACUCCAAGAAAUUGGGGCUAAUACUGGAUAUGACUGCUGACCGCAUGGUCUGGUGGUGGAAAGAUUUAUCGGCUGGGGAUGGGCCCGCGGCCUAUCAGCUUGUUGGUGGGGUAGUGGCCUACCAAGGCGA
RNAcentral lists this ribosomal RNA (247 nucleotides) under uncultured Actinomycetes bacterium. RNAcentral's name for it is "uncultured actinobacterium partial 16S ribosomal RNA". It matches the Rfam family "Bacterial small subunit ribosomal RNA", at positions 28 to 276 of the family's 1533-position model. Lineage: Bacteria; Bacillati; Actinomycetota; Actinomycetes. The record is from RNAcentral.